GACGAACGCUGGCGGCGUGCUUAACACAUGCAAGUCGAACGGAAAGGCCCUGCUUUUGUGGGGUGCUCGAGUGGCGAACGGGUGAGUAACACGUGAGUAACCUGCCCUUGACUUUGGGAUAACUUCAGGAAACUGGGGCUAAUACCGGAUAGGAGCUUCUGCUGCAUGGUGGGGGUUGGAAAGUUUCGGCGGUUGGGGAGGGAUUCGCGGCUUAUCAGCUUGUUGGUGGGGUAGUGGCUUACCAAGGCUUUGACGGGUAGCCGGGCUGAGAGGGUGACCGGCCACAUUGCGACUGAAGUGCGGCCCGGACUCCUACGGGAGGCAGCGCUGGGGAAUAUUGUACAACGGGCGGGAGCGUGAUGCAGCAACGCCGCGUUCGGGAAGACGGCCAUCGGGUUGUAAACCGCUGUCGCCUGUGACGAGGCGUAAUUGACGGUAAUGGGUAAAGAAGCACCGGCUAACUACGUG
Molecule: ribosomal RNA, 468 nt
Filed under: uncultured bacterium
Lineage: Bacteria
Description: partial 16S ribosomal RNA
Rfam family: Bacterial small subunit ribosomal RNA
Source: RNAcentral